Molecule: transfer RNA, 87 nt
Filed under: Candidatus Cloacimonadota bacterium
Lineage: Bacteria; Pseudomonadati; Candidatus Cloacimonadota
Description: Candidatus Cloacimonetes bacterium tRNA-Ser
Rfam family: tRNA
About the family: Transfer RNA (tRNA) molecules are approximately 80 nucleotides in length. Their secondary structure includes four short double-helical elements and three loops (D, anti-codon, and T loops).
Source: RNAcentral
GGAAGAUUGUCCGAGUGGUUGAAGGAGGCAGUCUUGAAAACUGUUGAGGAUUCACGUCCUCCGUGGGUUCGAAUCCUACAUCUUCCG